CUGUCUCAAAGAUUAAGCCAUGCAUGUCUCAGUACAAGCCAAAUUAAGGUGAAACCGCGAAAGGCUCAUUAAAUCAGUUAUGGUUCCUUAGAUCGUACCCACAUUUACUUGGAUAACUGUGGUAAUUCUAGAGCUAAUACAUGCAAACAGAGCUCCGACCGGAGACGGAAGGAGCGCUUUUAUUAGAUCAAAACCAAUCGGUGUCGGGUCUUCGGACUCCGUCAUCGUACAAUUUGCUGAAUCUGAAUAACUUUAAGCUGAUCGCACGGUCCUAGCACCGGCGACGCAUCUUUCAAAUGUCUGCCUUAUCAACUGUCGAUGGUAGGUUCUGCGCCUACCAUGGUUGUAACGGGUAACGGGGAAUCAGGGUUCGAUUCCGGAGAGGGAGCCUGAGAAACGGCUACCACAUCCAAGGAAGGCAGCAGGCGCGCAAAUUACCCACUCCCGGCACGGGGAGGUAGUGACGAAAAAUAACGAUACGGGACUCAUCCGAGGCCCCGUAAUCGGAAUGAGUACACUUUAAAUCCUUUAACGAGGAUCAAUUGGAGGGCAAGUCUGGUGCCAGCAGCCGCGGUAAUUCCAGCUCCAAUAGCGUAUAUUAAAGUUGUUGCGGUUAAAAAGCUCGUAGUCGAAUCUGUGUCCCGCGCCGCCGGUUCAUCGUUCGCGGUGUCAACUGGCGUGCCGCGGGACGUCCUGUCGGUGGGCUUAGCUCCGUCAUGGGCGGCCCAACAUAAAUCCCGCCGCGGUGCUCUUCAUUGAGUGUCGAGGUGGGCCGACACUUUUACUUUGAACAAAUUAGAGUGCUUAAAGCAGGCUAAAAUUUCGCCUGAAUACUGUGUGCAUGGAAUAAUGGAAUAGGACCUCGGUUCUAUUUUGUUGGUUUUCGGAACCCCGAGGUAAUGAUUAAUAGGAACGGAUGGGGGCAUUCGUAUUGCGACGUUAGAGGUGAAAUUCUUGGAUCGUCGCAGACGGA
Molecule: ribosomal RNA, 973 nt
Filed under: Toxicum sp. COL1616
Lineage: Eukaryota; Metazoa; Arthropoda; Insecta; Coleoptera; Tenebrionidae
Description: SSU rRNA
Rfam family: Eukaryotic small subunit ribosomal RNA
Source: RNAcentral